RNAcentral lists this ribosomal RNA (497 nucleotides) under uncultured bacterium. RNAcentral describes it as "partial 16S ribosomal RNA". It matches the Rfam family "Bacterial small subunit ribosomal RNA", at positions 28 to 507 of the family's 1533-position model. The record is from RNAcentral.
GAUGAACGCUGGCGGCGUGCCUAAUACAUGCAAGUCGAGCGAACAGACGAGGCGCUUGCUCCUUCCACGUUUGCGGAGGACGGGUGUGUAACACGUAGGUCCCCUACCUAUCAGACUGGGAUAACUUCGGGAAACCGGAUCAAAUCCCGGAUAAUAUUUCGCACCGCAUGGUUCGAUGGUGAAAGUUGGCUUUGCUAUCUCUUAUCGCUGGACAUGGGCCGUAUUAGCUGGUUGGUAAGGUCACGGCUUACCACGGCGACGAUACGUAGCCGACCUGAGAGAGUGAUCGGCGACAUUGGAACUGAGACACGGUCCAUACUCCUGCGAGAGGCAGCAGUAGGGAAUCUGCGGCAAUAGGCGAAAGCCUGACGGAGCAACGCCGCGUGAGUGAUGAAGGUCUUCGGAGCGGAAAACUCGGUUAUUAGUGAAGAACAAACGUGGAAGGAAAUGUACACGUCGUGACGGUACCUAGUCAGAAAGCCACGGCUAACUACGUG